Ictidomys tridecemlineatus (thirteen-lined ground squirrel) is the source of this 709-nucleotide non-coding RNA. The record is from RefSeq and is a predicted model, not a curated record. Lineage: Eukaryota; Metazoa; Chordata; Mammalia; Rodentia; Sciuridae.
GAAAACAACUGAGGGAGGAAUGGCCUUGUAUUACUGAUGCUGUUACAAAGAUUAGCUGUGAUGAUGGCAAAGACAUUGAAGGGAAUGGAGGCUGCUGUCCUUUGACUGAGACCUCUGAAACUUUUGCCAGCGACCCAGACAUGGGUGAAAGGAAAACCCUUCACAUCAGAAUUUAGAGCUAACUUCUGGAAGCCGAGAUCUGGAUGGUGCAUGUGACCUGUGCUGCAGCUGUGGAUCUACGAAAGACCCGGUACCCAAGCAAUGAACAGCAUUGAUGAGCCUGCUUCAUUGCUUCUCCAUUGUUGCCACAUGACACACACCUACCAGAGCUGUGAUGAAAAUAAUAGAUGUGCCAAGGAGAGGAUGAGUAAUUGUGAAUCCGCCAUGAGCCACAUGAUGUCUGCACCAGGGAACAGAGCGCGACGGACAGAAGUAGCAAUUAACUGAAAUACAGCUGUUUUGAAGUUGAUUGGGAGGAAACAUAUCACCAAAAUACAUUCUGGGAUAGGAAACCUCCCCCUAAUUUAUUUUAAAAUUAUGAUUUUAUCCCCCUUAGCACAAAAGGGAAUAUAUGCUAAUUUUAGAGAUAAAAUGAAAUAUUGACAAGUAAAAUAUCAUUACCUAUAAUUCCAACCCUCAGUCUUAUAGAGGAUUAAAGAAUGAUUGGGUAUAGGAGCAAACUACUGAUUAAAAACCUAAUACAUUUUGA